RNAcentral lists this ribosomal RNA (1343 nucleotides) under uncultured bacterium. Its description in RNAcentral is "16S ribosomal RNA". It matches the Rfam family "Bacterial small subunit ribosomal RNA", at positions 28 to 1378 of the family's 1533-position model. The record is from RNAcentral.
GACGAACGCUGGCGGCGUGCUUAACACAUGCAAGUCGAACGGAAAGGCCCUGCUUUUGUGGGGUGCUCGAGUGGCGAACGGGUGAGUAACACGUGAGUAACCUGCCCUUGACUUUGGGAUAACCUCAGGAAACUGGGGCUAAUACCGGAUAGGAGCUCCUGCUGCAUGGUGGGGGUUGGAAAGUUUCGGCGGUUGGGGAUGGACUCGCGGCUUAUCAGCUUGUUGGUGGGGUAGUGGCUUACCAAGGCUUUGACGGGUAGCCGGCCUGAGAGGGUGACCGGCCACAUUGGGACUGAGAUACGGCCCAGACUCCUACGGGAGGCAGCAGUGGGGAAUAUUGCACAAUGGGCGGAAGCCUGAUGCAGCAACGCCGCGUGCGGGAUGACGGCCUUCGGGUUGUAAACCGCUUUCGCCUGUGACGAAGCGUGAGUGACGGUAAUGGGUAAAGAAGCACCGGCUAACUACGUGCCAGCAGCCGCGGUGAUACGUAGGGUGCGAGCGUUGUCCGGAUUUAUUGGGCGUAAAGGGCUCGUAGGUGGUUGAUCGCGUCGGAAGUGUAAUCUUGGGGCUUAACCCUGAGCGUGCUUUCGAUACGGGUUGACUUGAGGAAGGUAGGGGAGAAUGGAAUUCCUGGUGGAGCGGUGGAAUGCGCAGAUAUCAGGAGGAACACCAGUGGCGAAGGCGGUUCUCUGGGCCUUUCCUGACGCUGAGGAGCGAAAGCGUGGGGAGCGAACAGGCUUAGAUACCCUGGUAGUCCACGCUGUAAACGGUGGGUACUAGGUGUGGGGUCCAUUCCACGGGUUCCGUGCCGUAGCUAACGCUUUAAGUACCCCGCCUGGGGAGUACGGCCGCAAGGCUAAAACUCAAAGGAAUUGACGGGGCCCCGCACAAGCGGCGGAGCAUGCGGAUUAAUUCGAUGCAACGCGUAGAACCUUACCUGGGUCUGACAUGGAUCGGGAGUGCUCAGAGAUGGGUGUGCCUCUUUUGGGGUCGGUUCACAGGUGGUGCAUGGCUGUCGUCAGCUCGUGUCGUGAGAUGUUGGGUUAAGUCCCGCAACGAGCGCAACCCUUGUUCACUGUUGCCAGCACGUUAUGGUGGGGACUCAGUGGAGACCGCCGGGGCCAACUCGGAGGAAGGUGGGGAUGACGUCAAGUCAUCAUGCCCCUUAUGUCCAGGGCUUCACGCAUGCUACAAUGGCUGGUACAGAGAGUGGCGAGCCUGUGAGGGUGAGCGAAUCUCGGAAAGCCGGUCUCAGUUCGGAUUGGGGUCUGCAACUCGACCUCAUGAAGUCGGAGUCGCUAGUAAUCGCAGAUCAGCAACGCUGCGGUGAAUACGUUCCCGGG